This 218-nucleotide ribosomal RNA is filed under the name Klebsiella pneumoniae. RNAcentral describes it as "partial 16S ribosomal RNA". It matches the Rfam family "Bacterial small subunit ribosomal RNA", at positions 1316 to 1533 of the family's 1533-position model. RNAcentral also lists the same sequence under 3 other names. The record is from RNAcentral. Lineage: Bacteria; Pseudomonadati; Pseudomonadota; Gammaproteobacteria; Enterobacterales; Enterobacteriaceae.
CUCCAUGAAGUCGGAAUCGCUAGUAAUCGUAGAUCAGAAUGCUACGGUGAAUACGUUCCCGGGCCUUGUACACACCGCCCGUCACACCAUGGGAGUGGGUUGCAAAAGAAGUAGGUAGCUUAACCUUCGGGAGGGCGCUUACCACUUUGUGAUUCAUGACUGGGGUGAAGUCGUAACAAGGUAACCGUAGGGGAACCUGCGGUUGGAUCACCUCCUUA